Molecule: transfer RNA, 64 nt
Filed under: Perna perna
Lineage: Eukaryota; Metazoa; Mollusca; Bivalvia; Mytilida; Mytilidae
Description: tRNA-Val
Source: RNAcentral
GUGUGGUAGUAUAAUUUUAAUACAUUUUGUUUACACCAAAAUACUCAUCGAAGAUGUCACGCUU